Molecule: ribosomal RNA, 254 nt
Filed under: uncultured bacterium
Lineage: Bacteria
Description: partial 16S ribosomal RNA
Rfam family: Bacterial small subunit ribosomal RNA
Source: RNAcentral
UACGAAGGGGGCUAGCGUUACUCGGAUUGACUGGGCGUAAAGGGCGCGUAGGCGGUUUGUACAGUCAGACGUGAAAUUCCUGGGCUCAACCUGGGGGCUGCGUUUGAUACGUGCAGACUUGAGUUCGGAAGAGGGUCGUGGAAUUCCCAGUGUAGAGGUGAAAUUCGUAGAUAUUGGGAAGAACACCGGUGGCGAAGGCGGCGACCUGGUCCUUUUACUGACGCUGAGGCGCGAAAGCGUGGGGAGCAAACAGG